RNAcentral lists this ribosomal RNA (292 nucleotides) under uncultured bacterium. Its description in RNAcentral is "partial 16S ribosomal RNA". The record is from RNAcentral.
GGACUACCAGGGUAUCUAAUCCUGUUCGCUCCCCACGCUUUCGCUCCUCAGCGUCAGAACAGGCCCAGAGAACCGCCUUCGCCACCGGUGUUCCUCCCGAUAUCUGCGCAUUUCACCGCUACACCGGGAAUUCCAUUCUCCCCUGCCUGCCUCCAGCCAGCCCGUAUCCACCGCACGCCCGGGGUUAAGUCCCGGGAUUUCACGGCAGACGCAACUGGCCGCCUACGAGCUCUUUACGCCCAAUAAUUCCGGACAACGCUUGCGCCCUACGUAUUACCGCGGCUGCUGGCAC